GCCCACAUGGCUCAGUGGUUGAGCAUCAACCUAUGAACCAGGAGGUCACGGUUCGAUUCCCAGUCUGGGCA
Molecule: transfer RNA, 71 nt
Filed under: Myotis myotis
Lineage: Eukaryota; Metazoa; Chordata; Mammalia; Chiroptera; Vespertilionidae
Also listed under: 1 other name
Rfam family: tRNA
About the family: Transfer RNA (tRNA) molecules are approximately 80 nucleotides in length. Their secondary structure includes four short double-helical elements and three loops (D, anti-codon, and T loops).
Source: Rfam by way of RNAcentral